This 408-nucleotide ribosomal RNA is filed under the name uncultured bacterium. Its description in RNAcentral is "partial 16S ribosomal RNA". It matches the Rfam family "Bacterial small subunit ribosomal RNA", at positions 29 to 526 of the family's 1533-position model. The record is from RNAcentral.
AGUGAACGCUGGCGGCGUGCCUAAUACAUGCAAGUCGAACGAAGUGGCGCACGGGUGAGUAAUAUAUAGUUAAUCUGCUCUACACAGAGGAACAACAGUUGGAAACGACUGCUAAUACCUCAUAGUGUAGGAUGAGACUAUAUCGUAUCAGCUAGUUGGGAAUGUAAUGGCUUACCAAGUCUAUGACGCGUAACUGGUCGGAGAGGAUGAUCAGUCACAUUGGAACGGAGACACCGUCCGAACUCCUACGGGAAGCGGCAGUAAGGAGUAUUGCGCAAGGGGGGUAACCCUCGCGCAGCAACGCCUCGUGGAGGAUGACACUUUUCGGGGCGUAAACUACUUUUAUCAGGAAAGCGGUACCUGAUGAAUAAGCACCGGCUAACUCCGUGCCAGCAGCCGCGGUAAUAC